RNAcentral lists this long non-coding RNA (4212 nucleotides) under Apis mellifera (honey bee). RNAcentral describes it as "uncharacterized LOC107964001". Lineage: Eukaryota; Metazoa; Arthropoda; Insecta; Hymenoptera; Apidae. The record is from RNAcentral.
AAUAAAUAACAAAGAGUAGAUGGAUAAAGCUCGAUCGAGAGCGGCCGCGGAGAGGGAAAGGUGGGAAAAAGCGAAGAGAAAAGGGAGAGUGAAUGAGGGGUGGUGGCGAGGGGGAUAGAAACAGGCAGCCGGUCGUUAGAUGGGUAGCGCGCGAAAGGUGGUCGGUGGAGAAGGAGGAGGAGGAGGAGGUGGAGGAGGAGGAGGAGGAGGUGGAAGGGCGGCGGUAGAAGGGUAGCCAUAAAAGUUUAUGCUCUCCAUAUGUUGUAAUAUAGUCGGUAGCAAGCGGCAGGGUGCGGGGGGAGAUCGGUAAAAUAUGCGGGCAAUAAGUAUGGAUUGUUAUUAACACGGGGCGCGCGGUGUCCGCCGCGUUUCUGAAUCCAUUACCUCCGCAUGGCGGCUGAAAUACCGGCCGAUAUAUCCGACCUGGUGUGUACAUCGCCGCACCAAUGGCGAGGGAAAGAGUAGAGGCGGCAUGAGCGCUAGAUAGCGAAUGCGAGAAUGAGAAUGAGAAUGGGGGAGGGAGAGAGAGAGAGAGAGAGAGAGAGGAGAGAGGAUUCGGAGAGCGUAUGAAUGGAUUAGCAGGCGCGGUGCGGCUAAAAUUACGAUCGGAUUUCACGUGCCCCGUACACCCAGGGCCAGACGUAUACGUAUGCACGCUCUCCUAACCCGCGUGCAUACCAACCCGCUAUUCACUUUCUGUCACGCCAAGAAAAUGGCAACCCGUGACCCUCCCGUCACCCAAUUUCGCGUCGAUCGAAACGAGAAAAAUAUAUGUGUAUAUACAUUUGUAUUGUUACAGUUUCUUUUAAAACUAUGCUUACACGAGGGUCGCAACACCUUUCCAGACUCUUAAAAUGGAAAGACAAAUAAUGGCGGUGGAACGAGCGCGGCAGACGACUGAUGGGUCUGGCAUGGCUCUAACUAGACGCAAUCAAGCGAGGAGCUUGGAGUUUGCGGCUGGUUACGAGAAGAGAGAGGGAGAGAGAGGGAGGAAUGAAGACUAACAGCGUGUCGCUCGGAGGCUAACCAGAAGUAAUGCUACCUCGGAUCAAUCUCCCUCCCCCCCUCCCUCCUAUCUGGAAUCCAAAGCCGCGCGACCGAGGACGAGAUAGAGAGCGAAACUCUCUCUAUCGCCGGACCGACAACAACAUCGACAUCGACAUCCACGUCAAUCUUAUUAUCGCGAUAAUUCUCUUCUUCCACGAUUAUUUUUGUCAUCGGCGAUGGAUAAGUUUCUUUCUUGCGAUUACUGUUGCAUAUACGAAAAUUUAAUUCAAAUCUCGUUUCUUUUUAUUAGGAAGUUACGGAAGCUUACGGAAGAUAUUUUCGCAGCGAUGAUUCCAAACUUUUGAAAAAAAAAGGUGAGAAUGAUUUCGCAACUCUGAAAGUUUCCGCGAAUUCGUAAUUUGCGAGAAAAGAAUACGAAUAUCGAAGGGAGUUAGUUUUAGAAGAAAAAAAAAAAAUUGAAAUAAAUUCAAUCAUAAUUAAAUUAAAUCGAUAAUAAUUUCCUCGAUCAAUCGUGAGAUACGCAUAAUUUUUCGAAAAGAAAAAUCUCUCUUCUCGGCGAAGAAAGAAAAAUAAUAAUAAUGAGCGAAAGAUAUAUAACUCGCGGUGUAUAAACGGUGUAUACAUACACAGAGAUACGGGAGAGGCGUCGUUUAAAGGCUGGACGAAAGUGGCGCAAAGGUGGGCGAGAGAAUCGCGCGACGCGACCGAAUCGCUGCGGUAUUUAUCGCUAUCCGAAAUACAUUCAUUUUCAUUUCGAACAUUACGUGCGAGUAGCGGAGAAGGGUGGCGGAGGAGGAUGAGGAGGAGGAGGAGGAUGGCGAUCGAAGGGGAACGAAAAGUGGUAGGGGAGUGGUGCGGGAGCGCGAGAGGGGGGGCAGGAGCGAAGGGAAGCAUCAGCAGCACCGCCAGCAGCCAGGGUAUUACCAAGAGCCAAUGAUAUAGUGACUAUUACCGUCACUACAUACUCGUGCGCGGAGUGAUGGCGGGUGACUGCGUGCUUCGAUAGCGCUAAGCCUCGGGGCAGUAAAAUACAUUGGUCCGGUGGCUGUGAUCCGGCCGUAUCAAUGCUGCCGCUUGCCCGUUAUGCACGCGGACUCGCCACCGUCACACUCCCUCCCCUCGCCCCCCCCCCUCCACUUAUGCGAGGAUCCACCGCGAGAGGGACCCAUCACGACCCAUCACGGCCCGCUGCGAAACCUUUCCGUUGACAACCGCUCUUAAUCUUGCUCGACCGCCUAACUCGUCACCCACUCUUCCCCUCGGUUUCUCUCCUUCUAAGCAUCGUUGCUGCUGCCCUCUGCUUCUUUUCGCUUCAACACUCGUGCAUAGAACGUGUAUACAAAGUGAGUAUAGAAGGUGUAGACUCGCUGUUGAAAAAGUGACGGGUUAAAAAUUUCGAAUAAAGUUUUACCACUCGUAAUUGUAUACGGAGCUAAGAGAUUAUUAUCACGUUUUGAACGAUAAAUUAUUAUAUGAAAAACAGGGAGGAGUGUCUAACGCACGAUUGUUACACGUACGUGUAGAGAAGAAAGGUGGUAAGGCAUGGGUCCAAGCAGCCGCCAGCCAGCCAACCUGUCCACGGAUGAUGGAACGAUAAACGGCGGACGGCGGAUGACAAACGAGAAAGAACGAAGGACCGAGAGGACGUGUGAUGGGUUGCGAACGAAUCGCAGCUCGCCCGAUUGUCUCACCGCGGUAACGGUGACUACAGAUUAAACUGUGGAUUUUGCGAACCGCAAUGCUUGUUGCGAAAUUAAUCCACGCAGUUCGUUAUUACGACAGUUACAUCGGUGGUACGUGUAAUCUGACCGUGCUUUUGUUGCUGAGCACAUCGAAACCACCGAACAAUUCUUCUUUGUUAAUGGCGUCUGUUUACGAUAUAAAACUGUUUGUCCGCGAUAAUGGCCGUCGCAAUGCGCACCAAUAAUUAUUUCGAAUUACGAAAUCGCGAAAUGGGCUUUUACACGGAGUUACGAACUGCAAUCAUUCUCGCGCGUAUAAACGUCGAUCGAACCGCAUUGCGAUUGUUUCGCGAGAGAGCGAACGCGAUUCGUCGCGUUCUAGCCAACCGCUAUCGGUGGGGGGGCGAGGGGGAGGAAGGGGGGGAAAAAAAAGGAAACAAAACAAAAUCGUAACGAUUUAGCGAUAUAUCAUACCGCGCCGAUUCUUUACACGAUCGAAAAGGAUAGGCUUUGAACGGAUAACUUUCUUAUCCGUCGUUUAUUAAUUCGAUCGAAUAAUUUUCUUUUUUUAUAUAUAUUUAAAUUACUCCAAGUGUACCACUAUCAUUUAUAUAGAUUAGGUUAAGUUGAUAUAUCAAUUUUUCUUACAAGCACGUUUAAAUUAUACGUGAAUCCAAUACGUAUUACGCUGUCGUUUGUAGAUAUAGGUUAAGUUAGGUUAGGUUAUAUACACGUGCGUGUAAAUUACACGUAUGCUGAGUAUAUUAUGCACGUCAUCAUUUGUGUAAGUUAGGUUAGGUUAAUCAAUAUCAAUUUUUGUUAUAGACACGUUUCUAAAUACACUAUCGCUUGUAGAUAUAGGUUAAGUUGAUUAUCGAUAUACUGUCUGUCGUACGAAUUCGAUCGCUUUUUCUUCUAUCCAAAUUACAUUAUCAAUUGUCAACAUAUGAGUCGUCCAUCAGCAUAUAUAAUGUUAAAUUUACGUGAAAUUUCUGUUCUAUUCAAUAUGCGUGUGUGUACGUGCGCGAUUUUUUUUUUUUUAAAACGCACGCGCGAGAAAUCACGGUGCUUAACCCCGAUCCCGAUCUCCGAAAUGUUGGAUUCUUACCGACAAUAUCAAAAUUUUACGCGGUAUACAGCACCGAUUAGUCGUGCCGCUACUCGAUAAAAUAAUUUAUCGAAUAUAUUUCAAUUUCACGCGUAUUAUGCCGCCCCGAAAGAGUAAUUCAAUGGAAAAUAUAAAUAUUCAUUUGCGGGGAUUUAAAGCGAACGGAUGUUCUCUCUCUCUCUCUCUCUCCCCCCUCCCUCUCGUACACUUACCCGUUACUCCCUCUCGCUCACUCACUCCCAUCGAAUCCAUAUCCCUCCUUUUCUGCCCCCCUCCCCCUUGCCCCCUCCCUGUUUUCACCCCGCCUACUCAACGAACCGAUGAUUUAUACCGGCAAAAUAAUAAUUUAAUUUCACCGCAGUUGGGCACGAUACAAAAUUGCACGACAAAAAUAAUAAAUAAAUUUUGUGCCGA